UCACCUAUCAAGCUUGGCUUGUUGUUGGGCCCUUUGUCACCGGGUGACAGGUCCAAAAGAUAAUGACCGGUGUCAUACCGACGCUAGAUGCAACGAGCUUAUCACAGCACGCAUCUGGCAGUCGUGUGGCCUGGUCUUCACCCCUUUUAUUUCUCAA
Molecule: unclassified non-coding RNA, 157 nt
Filed under: uncultured Chaetothyriales
Lineage: Eukaryota; Fungi; Ascomycota; Eurotiomycetes; Chaetothyriales
Description: sequence contains ITS2
Source: RNAcentral